RNAcentral lists this long non-coding RNA (332 nucleotides) under Gopherus evgoodei (Goodes thornscrub tortoise). RNAcentral describes it as "lncRNA (ENSGEVG00005010585.1)". The record is from RNAcentral. Lineage: Eukaryota; Metazoa; Chordata; Testudines; Testudinidae.
GUCUGAUGCUAUAUUUGCUGGCCUCCUAUUGAAUUUUUGUUUAUUGUUUCAAUUUUAAGAAUUGGAUGAAGAUUCACACCAAAAAAUUGUAACAGAUAUGAACCUCUCAGAAACUGCACCCUACAGAUGAUUUUACCAAAAGUUCCUGCUUUGGAUUAAGGUGGUUCACGCCAACUAAUGAGGUCCCUCUCUGUGGUUAUGCUACAGUGGCAUCAGCUGCUGUUAUUCCAUAUAAAAAGAAAAGUCUUUUUCAGACUACCACAGUUCUCCAUUACAAAAUACAUCAUCCUGAGAAGACCUGGGGCUUUUUCUGCCAGUUGACAUAAACUGAC